This 253-nucleotide ribosomal RNA is filed under the name uncultured bacterium. RNAcentral's name for it is "partial 16S ribosomal RNA". It matches the Rfam family "Bacterial small subunit ribosomal RNA", at positions 524 to 776 of the family's 1533-position model. The record is from RNAcentral.
UACAGAGGGGGCAAGCGUUAUUCGGAAUUAUUGGGCGUAAAGGGCGCGUAGGCGGCCUGGCAAGUGGAAGGUGAAAUCCCUCGGCUUAACCGGGGAACUGCAUCUGAUACUGGAUGGCUUGAGAUUGGGAGAGGGAUGCGGAAUUCCAGGUGUAGCGGUGAAAUGCGUAGAUAUCUGGAGGAACACCGGUGGCGAAGGCGGCAUCCUGGACCAACACUGACGCUGAGGAGCGAAAGCCAGGGGAGCAAACGGG